Molecule: ribosomal RNA, 437 nt
Filed under: uncultured Desulfovibrio sp.
Lineage: Bacteria; Pseudomonadati; Thermodesulfobacteriota; Desulfovibrionia; Desulfovibrionales; Desulfovibrionaceae
Description: bacterial SSU rRNA
Rfam family: Bacterial small subunit ribosomal RNA
Source: RNAcentral
GGUUUAAUUCGAUGCAACGCGAAGAACCUUACCUAGGUUUGACAUCCGGAGACCUCCGAAAGGAAGGGUGCCCUUCGGGGAAUUCCGAGACAGGUGCUGCAUGGCUGUCGUCAGCUCGUGCCGUGAGGUGUUGGGUUAAGUCCCGCAACGAGCGCAACCCUAUUGCCAGUUGCUACCAGGUAAUGCUGGGCACUCUGGUGAGACUGCCCCGGUUAACGGGGAGGAAGGUGGGGACGACGUCAAGUCAUCAUGGCCCUUACGCCUAGGGCUACACACGUACUACAAUGGCGCAUACAAAGGGCAGCGAUACCGCGAGGUGGAGCCAAUCCCAAAAAGUGCGUCCCAGUCCGGAUUGCAGUCUGCAACUCGACUGCAUGAAGUUGGAAUCGCUAGUAAUUCGAGAUCAGCAUGCUCGGGUGAAUGCGUUCCCGGGCCUU